RNAcentral lists this ribosomal RNA (1498 nucleotides) under uncultured Bordetella sp. RNAcentral describes it as "partial 16S-23S ribosomal RNA intergenic spacer". It matches the Rfam family "Bacterial small subunit ribosomal RNA". The record is from RNAcentral. Lineage: Bacteria; Pseudomonadati; Pseudomonadota; Betaproteobacteria; Burkholderiales; Alcaligenaceae.
UAACAGAGGGUUCGGUGUCAGCUCAGAUUGAACGCUGGCAGGAUGCUUACAUGUGCAAGUCGAACGGCAACCUGGACUUCGGUCUGGUGCUGGCGAGUGAGAACGGGUGAGUAAUGUAUCAGAGCGAUGCCUACGGACAGCGGGGGAUAACUACGCGGCGAAAACCUUAAUACCGCAUACCGCCCUUCGGGGAAAACGGGGGACCUUCCGGGCCUCGCACUAUUAGAGCAGCCAGUAUCGGUUGUAGUUGGUGGGGUAACCAGCUCCUUACCGAGGCGACGAUCAUCGCUGGUUGAAAGGGAUGAACCGAACCACACUGUGGGACUGAGACACGGCCCGAAGACUCCUGCAGGAAACCAGUGGGGAGUGGCUGGACAAUGGGGAAACCCUGAUCCAGCCAUCCCGCGAUGUGCGAUGAAGGCCCUUCGGGUUGUAAAGCACUUUUGGCAGGAAAGAAACGGCACGGGAUAAUACCCCGUGCAACUGACAGUACCUGCAGAAUAAGCACCGGCUAACUACGUGCCAGCAGCCGCGGUAAUACGUAGGGUGCAAGCGUUAAUCGGAAUUACUGGGCGUAAAGCGUGGUGGUUGGAAAGAAAGAUGCUGAAAUCCCAGAGCUUAACUUUGGAACUGCAUUUUUAACUACUAUUAGAGUGUGUCAGAGGGAGGUGGAAUUCCGCGAUAACAGCGGUGAUGCGUAGAUAUGCGGAGGAACACCGAUGGCGAAGGCAGCCUCCUGGGAUAAUGCAGCGCUCAUGCGAAAGCGUGGGAGGCAAACAGAGUUAGAUACACCUGGUAGUCCACGCCUAAACGAUGUCAACUAGCUGUUGGGGCCUUCGGGCCUUGUAGUAUCGCAACUAACGCGUGAAGUUGACCGUGCCUAGAAUACGGUCGCAAGAUUAAAGCUCAAAGGAAUUGACGGGGACCGCACACAAGCGGUGGAUGAUGUGGAUUAAUUCGAUGCAACGCGAAAAACCUUACCUACCCUUGAGCAUGUCUGGAAUCCCGAAGAGAUUUGGGAGUGCUCGCAAGAGAACCGGAACACAGGUGCUGCAUGGCUGUCGUCAGCUCGUGUCGUGAGAUGUUGGGUUAAGUCCCGCAACGAGCGCAACCCUUGUCAUUAGUUGCUACGAAAGGGCACUCUAAUGAGACUGCCGGUGACAAACCGGAGGAAGGUGAGGAUGACGUCAGUCCUCUGGCCCAUAUGGGUGGGCCUUCACACGUCAUACAAUGGUCGGGACAGAGGGUCGCCAACCCGCGAGGGAGCCAAUCCCAGAAAUAGUCAUGUAGUCCGGAUCGCAGUCUGCGCAACUCGACUGCGUGAAGUCGGAAUCGCUAGUAAUCGCGGAUCAAUGUCGCCAGUGGAAUACAUUCCCGGGUCUUGUACACACCGCCCGUCACACCUGUAGAGGGUAUGGGUUUUGCAGAGUAGUUAGCCUAGCCGUAAGGAGGCGAUUACGGUAGGAUUCAUGACUGGGGUGAAGUCGUAACAAGGUAG